RNAcentral lists this unclassified non-coding RNA (334 nucleotides) under soil metagenome. Its description in RNAcentral is "partial contains 5.8S ribosomal RNA, internal transcribed spacer 2, and large subunit ribosomal RNA". The stretch from base 1 to 120 matches the Rfam family "5.8S ribosomal RNA", at positions 35 to 154 of the family's 154-position model. The record is from RNAcentral.
GAUGAAGAACGCAGCGAAAUGCGAUACGUAAUGUGAAUUGCAGAUUUCAGUGAAUCAUCGAAUCUUUGAACGCACAUUGCGCCCGCUAGUAUUCUGGCGGGCAUGCCUGUUCGAGCGUCAUUUCAACCAUCAAGCCCUGUGCUUGUGUUGGAGCCCUGCGGCUGCCGCAGGCUCCCAAACCCAGUGGCGGGCUCGUCGUCGUACCGAGUGCAGUAAACAUACCACGCUCAGGGCACGCGACGGGUGACCGGCCGUAAAACCCCCCCCCUUCUCAAGGUUGACCUCGGAUCAGGUAGGAAUACCCGCUGAACUUAAGCAUAUCAAUAAGCGGAGG